UACGGAGGGUGCAAGCGUUAUCCGGAUUUACUGGGUUUAAAGGGUGCGUAGGCGGGCCCUUAAGUCAGUUGUGAAAUCUCCGGGCUUAACUCGGAAAGGUCAACUGAUACUGUGCGACUAGAGUGCAGAAGGGGCAACUGGAAUUCUCGGUGUAGCGGUGAAAUGCGUAGACAUCGAGAGGAACACCUGCGGCGAAGGCGGGUUGCUGGGCUGACACUGACGCUGAUGCGCGAAAGCCAGGGGAGCGAACGGG
RNAcentral lists this ribosomal RNA (253 nucleotides) under uncultured prokaryote. RNAcentral's name for it is "partial 16S ribosomal RNA". It matches the Rfam family "Bacterial small subunit ribosomal RNA", at positions 524 to 776 of the family's 1533-position model. The record is from RNAcentral.